CACUGACGUUUAGAAAACACUCGUGCUGUAAGUAAGUGAAUCGCAAAAGGGUUGGAAUGAUUUCAUUCCACAGCCUGUGGUUGUUGCUGUAUGUCACCUGGAGCCAGUGAAAACAUUUGCAUAAGAAUUUAAAAAUACGUAGAUGUUUCAAUUUAAAUUUUUUAGCAUAUGUGUUGCAUUUUUGCUCAACAUCUGAUGAUGUGACACAUGUCGUUAGUAAUCACGUGUUAUUACUAUGCCAGUACUCUUGAAAUGGGAGUUUUGUUUAGGGAUUUGCAGGAAAACUAACCAAAAACUACACCCGGAAACGGUCAAAUAAAAUGAUUUUCUUUCGUCUACGGGUAUGAGCGGUAACGUUUCAGCCGGUAGCUUUACUAAUUGGGCUUAAUUAAUCCUACAAUCUGUAACAGGUGUGCGGUGCAACCCACGUUUUAUAUGGUAACGCGCGUGAAAGGUGUGCAGACCGGUUUCAAACUACAGACCGUGCGAACAUAUAACUUACGUCGUCCCAGUGGUCGAAUUCAUAGCGUUUCUUCUUCAGGCCCGGCUCCAGCUCUCGCAGAAAAGACCCUUCCUCCUCCUCGGUGAUGAAGCCCGUCCUCACCUCCACCUGUGAGCCGAGUCUCCGCACGAGCUCCCGGCUCGAGCCGACGACGAGAGCUUCAUCCCGGAGAGGUGACAGGCCGCUGCUGGAGGCACAGGAGCUCAGGCGGCGCCGCGGACUGGCGUCAACAGCUGGUUUGUGGAUUCGUUUGACCGCUAAGUCAAGCGACUACGUGAGACGCCAUGUUGAAAACGCAAUGCAUUAUGGGGGGUGGAGUCUUCCAGCAGUGAAGCUUUUCAAUCAGGAGCCGUUUCUCUGCCCAAGGUAUGAUGCCGUUCUGUCCUGUGACCACUGGAGGGCAGUGAAGACUCAUUAUUGUAAACAGACUCGGGUCAGUUGUGUCCUCCACCAUUGUGCCAACAUCUGGAGAAAACCUUCAAAGUCAAACAUGCAGAGAGGAAGUGGUGUUCUGCCACGUGUGUAGAUGCAGCUUGACAAAACGGUCACAUGGUGGAUAUUUGAUUACAAGCACUUGUAUAAUUGAUUAAAUUAAUAGUAACUUAAAUGUUCACUAUGUAACAUGCUUUAGUGAAAGAAAUACACAAAUUAACCGUAGUGGAAUUUAAUAACACAAUGAAAUGGAGAAAUUAUUAAAUGAUUAAAAAAUAGGGGUUCCCCAGCAGCUCACCUGGUAGGGGGAAGGCUGAGUCCUUACCUCAGGGGCCAGGGUUUGAAUCCAACCCAUGUCCAUUUACUGCAUGUUGUCCCCUCCCCCUUUCCUGACUAUCUGUAUUAUCCAAUAGCAAAAAAAAUAAUCUUACAAAAAGGGGGAAAUAGAAACAAUCUUCUUUAUGUCCCUUGGCCCACAAAUUCAAGGACGAGGAACCUAUUUGAAAUAUUAGAAUGGUUGAAAAAUAGAGUAUGAAAAGAAGAGAGCUCUGAGAGUAGAUGAAGUGGUGACUUCAUCCUCACAAGAGAUUCCCUCUGAAAAAAACCACUGGCCUAUUUACCACUAAGGACAGGUUACCUCUCUCGUCUGCUCUCUUGCAUUGUUUCAAACAGUUUGUUAGUGAAAUAUCAGCAUACAAGGAAAGUGGGACAUCUCCUUUUACCCUCACAGGAGAUCUGUGGAUGUUAAAGCUGAUGUUUACAUUCUGUAUCAGCUCAGAUGUGAGACUAACUGUCAAGGAGCCCGGAGGAGACGGAGAAACAGAUGGAGGAAGAAGAUGUUGGUU
This is a long non-coding RNA of Anarrhichthys ocellatus (wolf-eel), 1779 nucleotides long. RefSeq lists it as uncharacterized. The record is from RefSeq and is a predicted model, not a curated record. NCBI's taxonomy places the organism in Eukaryota, Metazoa, Chordata, Actinopteri, Perciformes, Anarhichadidae. The transcript is spliced from 3 exons.